This 275-nucleotide ribosomal RNA is filed under the name uncultured prokaryote. Its description in RNAcentral is "partial 16S ribosomal RNA". It matches the Rfam family "Bacterial small subunit ribosomal RNA", at positions 524 to 798 of the family's 1533-position model. The record is from RNAcentral.
UACGUAGGUGGCAAGCGUUGUCCGGAAUUACUGGGUGUAAAGGGCGUGUAGGCGGGGAGACAAGUCAGAUGUGAAAUACCGUGGCUUAACUGCGGGGGUGCAUCUGAAACUGUUUCUCUUGAGUGUCGGAGAGGAAAGUGGAAUUCCCAGUGUAGCGGUGAAAUGCGUAGAGAUUAGGAAGAACACCAGUGGCGAAGGCGAUUCUCUGGACUGUAACUGACGCUGAGGCUCGAAAGCGUGGGGAGCAAACAGGAUUAGAUACCCGGGUAGUCCCU